This 126-nucleotide small RNA is filed under the name Marmota monax (woodchuck). Lineage: Eukaryota; Metazoa; Chordata; Mammalia; Rodentia; Sciuridae. The record is from RNAcentral.
ACUGGGCGUGGUGGCCCACACCUGUAAUCCCAGUGGCUUGGGAGGCUGAGGCAGGAGGAUCAAAAGUUCAAAGCCAGACUUAGAAACUUAGCAAAGCCUAAGCAACUUAGUGAGACCCUGUCUCAA